UAUUUUAGCAAUAGAAUAUGAGAGUGACGUACGGGUGCGUAACACGUAUGCAACCUACCCUUUACAGGCGGAUAGCUCGGGGAAACUCGAAUUAACCCGUCAUAAGAUCAUAGAGUGGCAUCACUUAGUGAUUAAAAUUACGGUGGUAAAGGAUGGGCAUGCGUCUGAUUAGUUAGUUGGUGCGGGUAACGGCCCACCAAGACGAUGAUCAGUAGGGGAACUGAGAGGUUGAUCCCCCACACUGGCACUGAGAUACGGGCCAGACUCCUACGGGAGGCAGCAGUAGGGAAUAUUGGUCAAUGGAUGGAAGUCUGAACCAGCCAUGCCGCGUGCAGGAAGAAGGCCUUCUGGG
RNAcentral lists this ribosomal RNA (352 nucleotides) under uncultured bacterium. RNAcentral's name for it is "bacterial SSU rRNA". It matches the Rfam family "Bacterial small subunit ribosomal RNA", at positions 72 to 423 of the family's 1533-position model. The record is from RNAcentral.